GUUGACGCCAGGAAGCUGUGGGUUACAAUGGGCAGACAGAGGUGGUAAAGCAGCCCAGCCCCCAGAUCAGAAAAGGCCACAGAGCUUCAGUCCAAGGAGAAAUGGCUUCAGGUGCGGCUGCAUCCAGGUGCUCAUGUGUUGUGGACAGAAACACCUUUCUGCAUCUUUGGCUCUGCAUUCUCCUCCCUGGGCCUUAUUCUCUGGCUAGUUCUUCCUCUGAGUGACAAGGAUCUGGGUUUACACUGUCUCAGAGUGGCAACUCCAGCAGAAAGAGCACACCUCCUUCGGCAGGUGUUGCCAGACCCAGCACAGAAGAGAUGGGGAUCUGAGCUCCAGGCCUGCCUUGUGGCAGCAUCUCCAUCUGCCUUCUCCCAAGUCCUUCAGAUCCUGGCCCAGUGGAGCCUCAAGCUCUGCACCCUCAGGCUGGAUUCAGGAAAUGCCUCCUUGCUGAUUUCCUUCAGGUCAGGCUCAGAUUCAGGGAAAACCACCAGCCACCCCACCCUGCUGGACGCAGCUCAGAGGCACCCUCCUGGAAGUCUCCCAGGAUUGCUCCCAGGAAGAAGGGAGGAGGAGAAGAGGCGGUCCAUGCAUUGGGUUGGGACCCUGCAUGCAUCUGUCCCCUCCUGAACUCCAAUGACAGCAGCUCAUGUCCAUUGCACUCCGACAGUGUGCCAGCCCCUCAGGAGCCCUGGGACCAGGAUUCUCUUCAUCUUCACUGCAGUCUUGCCUGGAGGCCCAUUUUGCAGAGAAGCAAGCUGAGCCUUGAGAGGUCAAGCACUGGCCCCAGGCCACAAGGCCAGAAUGGUAGAGCAGGAUGAAUCCUGGAGCCCGGACUCUCAUGCAGGGAUUACAAAACAGUCUGGAUGCUGUCCCCAGGCUGGGCUCAUCAUGCAAGUUAGGAAGCCGGGGUCAGGAUCUCUCUGUGUAACCCAGGCUGGCCUCAAACUCGAGAUGAUCCUUCUGCCUCAGCCUCCCUAGUGUUGAGAUGACAGCACCCGGCUCUACUCUUGACUUUAGAGUGUGCCAAUGUAUCCUAGACGCAAGUUCUUUGCCAGAUAUGCUUGCUGCCAAGCUGUGGCUUGUCUUCCCAUCCUCUUAGCAGGGAUUUUGCAGAACAUUUUUAAAUUAAAUGCGGU
This 1136-nucleotide long non-coding RNA is filed under the name Heterocephalus glaber (naked mole-rat). Its description in RNAcentral is "lncRNA (ENSHGLG00000033282.1)". The record is from RNAcentral. Lineage: Eukaryota; Metazoa; Chordata; Mammalia; Rodentia; Bathyergidae.